AGUUCAGUCGGUAGAACGGCGGACUGUUAAUCCGUAUGUCACUGGUUCGAGUCCAGCAGCCA
Molecule: transfer RNA, 62 nt
Filed under: Yokenella regensburgei
Lineage: Bacteria; Pseudomonadati; Pseudomonadota; Gammaproteobacteria; Enterobacterales; Enterobacteriaceae
Description: tRNA-Asn
Rfam family: tRNA
About the family: Transfer RNA (tRNA) molecules are approximately 80 nucleotides in length.
Source: RNAcentral